UACGUAGGGUGCGAGCGUUAAUCGGAAUUACUGGGCGUAAAGCGUGCGCAGGCGGUUUUGUAAGCCAGAUGUGAAAUCCCCGGGCUUAACCUGGGAAUGGCAUUUGGGACUGCAAGGCUGGAGUGCGGCAGAGGAGACUGGAAUUCCUGGUGUAGCAGUGAAAUGCGUAGAUAUCAGGAGGAAUACCGAUGGCGAAGGCAGGUCUCUGGGCUGACACUGACGCUCAUGCACGAAAGCGUGGGGAGCAAACAGG
This 253-nucleotide ribosomal RNA is filed under the name uncultured bacterium. RNAcentral's name for it is "partial 16S ribosomal RNA". It matches the Rfam family "Bacterial small subunit ribosomal RNA", at positions 524 to 776 of the family's 1533-position model. RNAcentral also lists the same sequence under 1 other name. The record is from RNAcentral.